This 400-nucleotide ribosomal RNA is filed under the name uncultured bacterium. Its description in RNAcentral is "bacterial SSU rRNA". It matches the Rfam family "Bacterial small subunit ribosomal RNA", at positions 356 to 773 of the family's 1533-position model. The record is from RNAcentral.
GGGGAAUAUUGGACAAUGGGCGAAAGCCUGAUCCAGCCAUGCCGCGUGAGUGAUGAAGGCCUUAGGGUUGUAAAGCUCUUUUGUCCGGGAAGAUAAUGACUGUACCGGAAGAAUAAGCCCCGGCUAACUUCGUGCCAGCAGCCGCGGUAAUACGAAGGGGGCUAGCGUUGCUCGGAAUCACUGGGCGUAAAGGGCGCGUAGGCGGACUUUUAAGUCGGAGGUGAAAGCCCAGGGCUCAACCCUGGAAUUGCCUUCGAUACUGGGAGUCUUGAGUUCGGAAGAGGUUGGUGGAACUGCGAGUGUAGAGGUGAAAUUCGUAGAUAUUCGCAAGAACACCGGUGGCGAAGGCGGCCAACUGGUCCGAAACUGACGCUGAGGCGCGAAAGCGUGGGGAGCAAAC